Molecule: ribosomal RNA, 721 nt
Filed under: uncultured bacterium
Lineage: Bacteria
Description: bacterial SSU rRNA
Rfam family: Bacterial small subunit ribosomal RNA
Source: RNAcentral
CAGUCGAACGGAGCGCCGGACACGGACUAUUUCGGUAGGAAGCGUGCGGUGGCUUAGUGGCGGACGGGUGAGUAACGCGUGGAUAACCUGCCGCAUACCGGGGGAUAACAGCUGGAAACAGCUGCUAAUACCGCAUAUGCCCGCAGUGCCGCAUGGCACAGCGGGGAAAACUCCGGUGGUAUGCGAUGGGUCCGCGUCUGAUUAGGCAGUUGGCGGGGUAACGGCCCACCAAACCGACGAUCAGUAGCCGGCCUGAGAGGGCGGACGGCCACACUGGGACUGAGACACGGCCCAGACUCCUGCGGGAGGCAGCAGUGGGGAAUAUUGCACAAUGGGGGAAACCCUGAUGCAGCGACGCCGCGUGAAGGAAGAAGUAUCUCGGUAUGUAAACUUCUAUCAGCAGGGAAGAAAACAGACGGUACCUGACUAAGAAGCCCCGGCUAACUACGUGCCAGCAGCCGCGGUAAUACGUAGGGGGCAAGCGUUAUCCGGAUUUACUGGGUGUAAAGGGGGCGCAGACGACCAUGGCAAGCCCGGUGUGAAAGCAGGGGCAUAACCCCUGGACUGCACUGGGAACUGUCAGGCUGGAGUGCCGGAGGGGUAAGCGGAAUUCCUGGUGUAGCGGUGAAAUGCGUAGAUAUCAGGAGGAACACCGGCGGCGAAGGCGGCUUACUGGACGGCAACUGACGUUGAGGCCCGAAAGCGUGGGGAGCGAACAGGA